UACGGAGGGGGCUAGCGUUGUUCGGAAUUACUGGGCGUAAAGCGCACGUAGGCGGCUUUGCAAGUUAGAGGUGAAAGCCCGGGGCUCAACUCCGGAAUUGCCUUUAAAACUGCAUCGCUAGAAUUGUGGAGAGGUAAGUGGAAUUCCGAGUGUAGAGGUGAAAUUCGUAGAUAUUGGGAAGAACACCAGUGGCGAAGGCGGCUCACUGGCCCAUUACUGACGCUGAGGCACGAAAGCGUGGGGAGCAAACAGG
Molecule: ribosomal RNA, 253 nt
Filed under: uncultured bacterium
Lineage: Bacteria
Description: partial 16S ribosomal RNA
Rfam family: Bacterial small subunit ribosomal RNA
Source: RNAcentral